This 252-nucleotide ribosomal RNA is filed under the name uncultured bacterium. RNAcentral's name for it is "partial 16S ribosomal RNA". It matches the Rfam family "Bacterial small subunit ribosomal RNA", at positions 524 to 776 of the family's 1533-position model. The record is from RNAcentral.
UACGUAGGUCCCGAGCGUUGUCCGGAUUUAUUGGGCGUAAAGCGAGCGCAGGUGGUUUAUUAAGUCUGGUGUAAAAGGCAGUGGCUCAACCAUUGUAUGCAUUGGAAACUGGUAGACUUGAGUGCAGGAGAGGAGAGUGGAAUUCCAUGUGUAGCGGUGAAAUGCGUAGAUAUAUGGAGGAACACCGGUGGCGAAAGCGGCUCUCUGGCCUGUAACUGACACUGAGGCUCGAGAGCGUGGGGAGCAAACGGG